UGAACAUAGUUUAACAAAAACCCUGGGCAGUGGCCCCAAAAAUAAAGCAUUUUCUUUUGUUCACC
Molecule: transfer RNA, 65 nt
Filed under: Paroedura sanctijohannis
Lineage: Eukaryota; Metazoa; Chordata; Lepidosauria; Squamata; Gekkonidae
Description: tRNA-His
Source: RNAcentral